GAUGAACGCUGGCGGCGUGCCUAACACAUGCAAGUCGAACGGAGUCCAGCCUUUAAGACCUUCGGGUCAAAGAGGGGAAAACUGAGUGGCGGACGGGUGAGUAACACGUGGGCAACCUGGCUCAUAGAGGGGGAUAACAGAGAGAAAUUUCUGCUAAUACCGCAUAAGCACACACUGCCGCAUGGCAGAGGGUGAAAAGAGAAUCGCUAUGAGAUGGACCCGCGUCUGAUUAGCCAGUUGGCAGGGUAAGAGCCUACCAAAGCGACGAUCAGUAGCCGAUCUGAGAGGAUGAACGGCCACAUUGGGACUGAGACACGGCCCAAACUCCUACGGGAGGCAGCAGUGGGGGAUAUUGCACAAUGGGGGGAACCCUGAUGCAGCGACGCCGCGUGAGUGAAGAAGUAUUUCGGUAUGUAAAGCUCUAUCAGCAGGGAAGAUAAUGACAGUACCUGAAUAAGAAGCCCCGGCUAACUACGUG
This 478-nucleotide ribosomal RNA is filed under the name uncultured bacterium. Its description in RNAcentral is "partial 16S ribosomal RNA". It matches the Rfam family "Bacterial small subunit ribosomal RNA", at positions 28 to 507 of the family's 1533-position model. The record is from RNAcentral.